Molecule: ribosomal RNA, 547 nt
Filed under: Salmonella enterica subsp. diarizonae
Lineage: Bacteria; Pseudomonadati; Pseudomonadota; Gammaproteobacteria; Enterobacterales; Enterobacteriaceae
Description: partial 23S ribosomal RNA
Rfam family: Bacterial large subunit ribosomal RNA
Source: RNAcentral
AAGCUAUUUAGGUAGCGCCUCGUGAAUUCAUCUCCGGGGGUAGAGCACUGUUUCGGCUAGGGGGCCAUCCCGGCUUACCAACCCGAUGCAAACUGCGAAUACCGGAGAAUGUUAUCACGGGAGACACACGGCGGGUGCUAACGUCCGUCGUGAAGAGGGAAACAACCCAGACCGCCAGCUAAGGUCCCAAAGUCAUGGUUAAGUGGGAAACGAUGUGGGAAGGCCCAGACAGCCAGGAUGUUGGCUUAGAAGCAGCCAUCAUUUAAAGAAAGCGUAAUAGCUCACUGGUCGAGUCGGCCUGCGCGGAAGAUGUAACGGGGCUAAACCAUGCACCGAAGCUGCGGCAGCGACACUUUAGUGUUGUUGGGUAGGGGAGCGUUCUGUAAGCCGUUGAAGGUGUCCUGUGAGGGGUGCUGGAGGUAUCAGAAGUGCGAAUGCUGACAUAAGUAACGAUAAAGCGGGUGAAAAGCCCGCUCGCCGGAAGACCAAGGGUUCCUGUCCAACGUUAAUCGGGGCAGGGUGAGUCGACCCCUAAGGCGAGGCCGAA